GAUGAAGAACGUAGCGAAAUGCGAUAAGUAGUGUGAAUUGCAGAAUUCAGUGAAUCAUCGAAUCUUUGAACGCACAUUGCGCCCUCUGGUAUUCCGGAGGGCAUGCCUGUUCGAGCGUCAUUAAAACUACUCAAGCUAAGGUUUUACCUUCUGCUUGGUCUUGGGUUUGAGGAUUCAAAAUCCUCUCUCCGAAAUCCAGUGGCGAAUUGUUUGAGCUGUAGACGUAGUAAAACAUUCUACCCGUUGCAAGCGAGAAUAAUAUUCAGCCAUAACCCCCAUACUUUUCUAGUUUGACCUCGGAUCAGGUAGGGAUACCCGCUGAACUUAAGCAUAUCAAUAAGCGGAGGA
This 348-nucleotide unclassified non-coding RNA is filed under the name soil metagenome. RNAcentral describes it as "partial contains 5.8S ribosomal RNA, internal transcribed spacer 2, and large subunit ribosomal RNA". The stretch from base 1 to 120 matches the Rfam family "5.8S ribosomal RNA", at positions 35 to 154 of the family's 154-position model. The record is from RNAcentral.